UUUACUUCUUAGUUCAUAUUGAGUCUCCUUUUAUGGAGUUUGGAUGGGAAAAAAAAAAAAACACGGAACAGCAGUUAGAAAACUCCAAAAUGAAAAACACGUGCAACAUUCAGAUCCACCAUCAGAGGUAAAGUAAAGAUCUCAAGUUUAAAAUGAUGGUGAAGGGAGAAGAGACCGAGUUUCCUUGAGAUUGAAAGAGAAAGAGAGAAGAAAAUAAAAGGUCCAAGAAAGUAACGGCGUGGAAAGGAAGAGGACAUUUGCUCAGAUUCAGAAGUAUCGCGUGCAAGAGCUUUUACGGUAGGUUGAAAGUGGUUUGGAUUUGAAAAUUUGAUUAAUCUAUUGUGAAUUGAAUAUUAGAGACUAAAGCAGCAUGGAAGAAAAGGUUUAAUUUUAAUUUUUUUAUUUUAUAGAUGCCCUGAGAAAUGACCAUCUCAAGUAAGAGGUCGAGAAAGAAUGUCAACCUUGGAAGGAGGGAAAAAUUGGGGGUCUGAGUAUUUGGUGUGAUACGCAUGUGUAUUAAGACAGAAAUUUGCUUAGAAUAAACGCAUGCGUUUUGAAAAAAGGUUGUACCACAAAGUAGACAACGUAUUAAGAGAUUUAAUCAAUUACUUUGAAGAGUGGGUUAGGUGGGGGAGGUUCGAUGGAUGAAAUUAUAUCUAAAGUUAUUGUAAUAUUACUGUUUUAUAACACAGUAGGAGGAAGAUUGUAAUAUUAUGUCUAAAGUUAUAGACAUGUAUUGUAAUACUGUACUCUAAAAUUAAAAACUAAAAUUGAGGGUCGAUCCGUCCACCGUCCGCAGAGAUGCAGUGUACCUGCCAAAUAAAGACAAAUCAACAAUUA
Long non-coding RNA from Stylophora pistillata, 840 nucleotides. RefSeq lists it as uncharacterized. The record is from RefSeq and is a predicted model, not a curated record. Lineage: Eukaryota; Metazoa; Cnidaria; Anthozoa; Scleractinia; Pocilloporidae.